UCCCUCGCUGCUAAGCUAUCCCUCGCUGCUAAGCUAUCGCUGCCAACCUAUCUAUCGCUGCCAACCUAUCUAUCGCUGCCAAUUUAUCUACCACUGCCAAUCUAUCUAUUGCUGCUAAUCUAUCGCUGCUGUCAAUCUAUCUAUCGCUGCUAAUCUAUCUAUCGCUGCUAAUCUAUCGCCGCUGCCAAUCUAUCCCUCACUGCUAAGCUAUCCCUCGCUGCUAAGCUAUCGCUGCCAACCUAUCUAUCGCUGCCAACCUAUCUAUCGCUGCCAACCUAUCUAUCGCUGCCAAUUUAUCUACCACUGCCAAUCUAUCUAUUGCUGCUAAUCUAUCGCUGCUGUCAAUCUAUCUAUCGCUGCUAAUCUAUCUAUCGCUGCUAAUCUAUCGCCGCUGCCAAUCUAUCCCUCGCUGCUAAGCUGUCUCUCGCUGCUAAGCUAUCCCUCACUGCUAAGCUAUCCCUCGCUGCUAAGCUAUCCCUCACUACUAAGCUAUCUAUCACUGCUAAUCUAUCGCUGCCAACCUAUCUAUAACUGCCAAUCUAUCUAUCGCUGCUAAUCUAUCGCUGCUAAUCUAUCGCUGCCAACCUAUCUACCGCGGCGAAUCUAUCUAUCACUAUCAUUACUAGUUCAAAAUAGAACUAGAGCAUAAAUACACUAAACUUCUUUUGAUAGGUAAUGAUUUUUGGUAACGCUCAUAGCAUUAUAUCAUCUAUAUAGGGUAAAUCAUGGUCCCAUUUGGUCCCAUUUUAACAAAAUGGGACCAAAUGGGACCAGAAUCAGUAAUUUAUAAGAAGAACAUGACCUGGGAC
This 809-nucleotide small RNA is filed under the name Histoplasma ohiense. RNAcentral describes it as "hypothetical lncRNA". The record is from RNAcentral. Lineage: Eukaryota; Fungi; Ascomycota; Eurotiomycetes; Onygenales; Ajellomycetaceae.